GAUGAACGCUGGCGGCGUGCCUAAUACAUGCAAGUCGAGCGAACGGACGAGGAGCUUGCUCCUCUGACGUUAGCGGCGGACGGGUGAGUAACACGUGGAUAACCUACCUAUAAGACUGGGAUAACUUCGGGAAACCGGAGCUAAUACCGGAUAAUAUAUUGAACCGCAUGGUUCAAUAGUGAAAGACGGUUUUGCUGUCACUUAUAGAUGGAUCCGCGCCGCAUUAGCUAGUUGGUAAGGUAACGGCUUACCAAGGCAACGAUGCGUAGCCGACCUGAGAGGGUGAUCGGCCACACUGGAACUGAGACACGGUCCAGACUCCUACGGGAGGCAGCAGUAGGGAAUCGUCCGCAAUGGGCGAAAGCCUGACGGAGCAACGCCGCGUGAGUGAUGAAGGUCUUCGGAUCGUAAAACUCUGUUAUUAGGGAAGAACAAAUGUGUAAGUAACUAUGCACGUCUUGACGGUACCUAAUCAGAAAGCCACGGCUAACUACGUG
RNAcentral lists this ribosomal RNA (497 nucleotides) under uncultured bacterium. RNAcentral describes it as "partial 16S ribosomal RNA". It matches the Rfam family "Bacterial small subunit ribosomal RNA", at positions 28 to 507 of the family's 1533-position model. The record is from RNAcentral.